Molecule: ribosomal RNA, 396 nt
Filed under: uncultured bacterium
Lineage: Bacteria
Description: bacterial SSU rRNA
Rfam family: Bacterial small subunit ribosomal RNA
Source: RNAcentral
AGAGGGUUUAGACCCUCGGCAAACGGGUUCGGAACGCGUAGGAACUUACCCUGAAGUCAUGGAUAAUCCGGAGAAAUCCGGAACAAUACAUGAUACCCUCUACGGAGGAAAGAUUUAUCGCUUCAGGAGAGGCCUGCGUCCUAUCAGCUAGUUGGUGAGGUAAUAGCUCACCAAGGCGAUGACGGGUAGGGGGUGUGAGAGCAUGGCCCCCAACAUUGGAACUGAGACACUGUCCAAACACCUACGGGUGGCUGCAGUCGAGAAUAUUCGUCAAUGGGCGCAAGCCUGAACGAGCGACGCCGCGUGCAGGAAGAAGGUUUUCGGAUUGUAAACUGCUUUUCUCUGGGAACAAUUACGAUGAGUGUACCAGAGGAAUAAGAGGUUACUAACUCUGUG